ACGAUUAUUAGCGAGGAACCAGUGAAGAAGAAUAAGCACCAACGAACGAAUGAUCAAUGGAAAGCAAAGGAACCAACAUUCGUUCAUCCAUGGAACGUAUCAGUAUUGAAAGGACAUAAAAAAGAAGUGACAGAUG
Molecule: small RNA, 136 nt
Filed under: Caenorhabditis elegans
Lineage: Eukaryota; Metazoa; Nematoda; Chromadorea; Rhabditida; Rhabditidae
Description: Unclassified non-coding RNA F46C5.15
Source: RNAcentral